GACGAACGCUGGCGGCGUGCUUAACACAUGCAAGUCGAACGGAAAGGCCCUGCUUUUGUGGGGUGCUCGAGUGGCGAACGGGUGAGUAACACGUGAGUAACCUGCCCUUGACUUUGGGAUAACUUCAGGAAACUGGGGCUAAUACCGGAUAGGAGCUCCUGCUGCAUGGUGGGGGUUGGAAAGUUUCGGCGGUUGGGGAUGGACUCGCGGCUUAUCAGCUUGUUGGUGGGGUAGUGGCUUACCAAGGCUUUGACGGGUAGCAGGCCUGAGAGGGUGACCGGCCACAUUGGGACUGAGAUACGGCCCAGACUCCUACGGGAGGCAGCAGUGGGGAAUAUUGCACAAUGGGCGGAAGCCUGAUGCAGCAACGCCGCGUGCGGGAUGACGGCCUUCGGGUUGUAAACCGCUUUCGCCUGUGACGAAGCGUGAGUGACGGUAAUGGGUAAAGAAGCACCGGCUAACUACGUGCCAGCAGCCGCGGUGAUACGUAGGGUGCGAGCGUUGUCCGGAUUUAUUGGGCGUAAAGGGCUCGUAGGUGGUUGAUCGCGUCGGAAGUGUAAUCUUGGGGCUUAACCCUGAGCGUGCUUUCGAUACGGGUUGACUUGAGGAAGGUAGGGGAGAAUGGAAUUCCUGGUGGAGCGGUGGAAUGCGCAGAUAUCAGGAGGAACACCAGUGGCGAAGGCGGUUCUCUGGGCCUUUCCUGACGCUGAGGAGCGAAAGCGUGGGGAGCGAACAGGCUUAGAUACCCUGGUAGUCCAUGCUGUAAACGGUGGGUACUAGGUGUGGGGUCCAUUCCACGGGUUCCGUGCCGUAGCUAACGCUUUAAGUACCCCGCCUGGGGAGUACGGCCGCAAGGCUAAAACUCAAAGGAAUUGACGGGGCCCCGCACAAGCGGCGGAGCAUGCGGAUUAAUUCGAUGCAACGCGUAGAACCUUACCUGGGUUUGACAUGGAUCGGGAGUGCUCAGAGAUGGGUGUGCCUCUUUUGGGGUCGGUUCACAGGUGGUGCAUGGCUGUCGUCAGCUCGUGUCGUGAGAUGUUGGGUUAAGUCCCGCAACGAGCGCAACCCUUGUUCACUGUUGCCAGCACGUUAUGGUGGGGACUCAGUGGAGACCGCCGGGGUCAACUCGGAGGAAGGUGGGGAUGACGUCAAGUCAUCAUGCCCCUUAUGUCCAGGGCUUCACGCAUGCUACAAUGGCUGGUACAGAGAGUGGCGAGCCUGUGAGGGUGAGCGAAUCUCGGAAAGCCGGUCUCAGUUCGGAUUGGGGUCUGCAACUCGACCUCAUGAAGUCGGAGUCGCUAGUAAUCGCAGAUCAGCAACGCUGCGGUGAAUACGUUCCCGGGGCU
This 1346-nucleotide ribosomal RNA is filed under the name uncultured bacterium. Its description in RNAcentral is "partial 16S ribosomal RNA". It matches the Rfam family "Bacterial small subunit ribosomal RNA", at positions 28 to 1381 of the family's 1533-position model. The record is from RNAcentral.